This is a long non-coding RNA of Lolium rigidum, 311 nucleotides long. RefSeq lists it as uncharacterized. The transcript has 4 exons. The record is from RefSeq and is a predicted model, not a curated record. NCBI's taxonomy places the organism in Eukaryota, Viridiplantae, Streptophyta, Magnoliopsida, Poales, Poaceae.
GUCAUGGGUCGAUGGUCUAAAAACUGACUAGAGUAAUUCUUCUCCGUGGUAUAUGUGUGUAGGUUGUCAAAAUAAGCUUCCUGCAAUUGGUCUUGGGUGGAGUGUGAAACAGUUCUGAACCAGCUACUAGGCAGGUAGUGACUUGGAUGGUAAUACAGUUACAUGAAAGGAGUACAAAUCCAUGACGUUCGCAUCCAGGUAGUAAACAAGGCAGUCCGGUUGGACAACAUUGUGCCUUGCAUUUUGAGAAAGACCCUAAAUGAUGUUCAGUUCAAAGGAUACACAAUUCCGGCAGGAUGGGGGUUGAUGGU